UAAUGUGAAAGUUGUUUGGCCAUAAUGCCUGUCAGCCCAUUGAUCAGCAGAUAGGUGACUGUCUCCACCCUCCCUCAUUAUUCUGUGUGUCCCUCCUGAAGCUGCGCCCUUGGUAGAAGAGGAUGACUUCUCCUGAUACAAAAGGACUCUUCCUUGCACUGGGUAUAUGAUCUUAAAUCCUUUUUUCUAGGAUCUCCAAACCAGUUCUCAUGCAGGAACUCUGAAGACAGAGGGAGGUAUGGUAGAGUUGCAUUGGUGUUUGGCAUUUCAUCUGGGGGUGGGCAAUUGUAU
Molecule: small nuclear RNA, 291 nt
Filed under: Rattus norvegicus (Norway rat)
Lineage: Eukaryota; Metazoa; Chordata; Mammalia; Rodentia; Muridae
Description: 7SK RNA
Rfam family: 7SK RNA
About the family: 7SK was discovered as an abundant small nuclear RNA in the mid-70s but a possible function has only recently been suggested. Two independent studies have found that 7SK RNA binds the CDK9/cyclin T complex (known as elongation factor P-TEFb).
Source: Rfam by way of RNAcentral